Long non-coding RNA from Penaeus monodon (black tiger shrimp), 855 nucleotides. RefSeq lists it as uncharacterized. The transcript is spliced from 3 exons. NCBI's taxonomy places the organism in Eukaryota, Metazoa, Arthropoda, Malacostraca, Decapoda, Penaeidae. The record is from RefSeq and is a predicted model, not a curated record.
CGGCAGGGGGCCCUGGACUGAUCUGGCAUGCGUUCUUGAAGGGUCAAAGCGCGAGCUUUAUCACGAAACGACGUCGCCGAAAGUAGCAGGGCUAGCGGGAGCGGGUGAUGAGAUCGGUGGCAGGGCGGAGAUACGAGGAGGAGGAGAGGGGAGAAGGGAGAAGGAGAAGGAUGGGAAGGGUGGCAAGACUAGGUGUGUUGGGACUAGGGUGGCUGUGGAUGGGCGGGGGGCAUACACUCGCUACACUCGGUCAGUGAGUCAGUGUGGUUUGCUGGCCCGGUCGGAGAGGAGUGCUCGCUCGCGUGCUCUUGUCUCACUCUCACUCGCUCCCACGGCACACUUGGCGUUCGCUUCAUCCCCCAUCCGUUUUGUGUGUUCACCUCUAUUUCUCUCGGUUUUUGUUUUCCUCGAGUGUUUCCUUUCCUUCCCCUCCCUCUCCCCUUCCUCUCUUCGGGUAAACACGAUUGCGCGAAAGACAUUUGAAGUCAAGCAUCGGCUGGAGGAGGAGUUUUAAAGGGAAGGUCCCACGUUCUGCCUCUGAGUUUCCUCGUCUUAGCCAGGUGGCUACCAAUGCUGGCGGUGCGGUAGUGCGAUGUCAAGAUUUAUGUAAGUGUUGAUGGCGCGGGUCUCAUGGCCUCAGGACCGGGCCCUCCUGGAACACUCGCUUCAGCCCACCCACCUCCUCCCGCAGUCUCCCUCCCCUCCCUUCCCCGCCCUCUCCCCGUCCCCCGCCCCUCCACCCUCCGCGGUCGUUCGUCGUCCGGCGGCCUCCAAGUAGUCGUCCUUCCCUCCGUCGACGCUUCGUAGGACCCCAAGAAAAGGGUCGCACUGCGCGCACACCCACACGCCCGCCCG